This 21-nucleotide microRNA is filed under the name Aegilops tauschii. RNAcentral's name for it is "ata-miR9776-3p". The record is from miRBase by way of RNAcentral. Lineage: Eukaryota; Viridiplantae; Streptophyta; Magnoliopsida; Poales; Poaceae.
GCACAUCCAUGUCCAAGCUCU